Molecule: small RNA, 175 nt
Filed under: Gopherus agassizii (Agassiz's desert tortoise)
Lineage: Eukaryota; Metazoa; Chordata; Testudines; Testudinidae
Description: TUC338 (ENSGAGG00000003209.1)
Source: RNAcentral
UUAAGAACCCUGGAGACUGAAUUCUUCAUACCUACAGAAGAAGUGCAGCACAGGGUGGGGACAGUUUAAGAUGUUGAUGCUGGUCUGACAAUAUGUCUCAGCCCUGAGCUGGGAGCACUGUCACUAGAAACAUGAGGAUGCUUCAGUCUAUAUGCUCGUUCAGUCCUUGGCCUCU